GCCCGGAAAUAUAGGGCAUGACGUCGGAUUGAAAAUCCGCGUGUCACUGGUUCGAUUCCGGUCCCGGGCA
This 70-nucleotide transfer RNA is filed under the name Devosia sp. Root436. It matches the Rfam family "tRNA". Rfam says of the family: Transfer RNA (tRNA) molecules are approximately 80 nucleotides in length. The record is from Rfam by way of RNAcentral. Lineage: Bacteria; Pseudomonadati; Pseudomonadota; Alphaproteobacteria; Hyphomicrobiales; Devosiaceae.